UGGGUUUGAAAUCAGUUAUUCAGCGAGUUUGCCUCGACUUUCUUCUUCUCAUAGUCCAACCCAUCGAUCAAUAGGAUUUCUAGAGAUUUUUUUUCUCUUGAUUGUGGCCAUGUAACAUUGUUAGGCCAAUUGCUAGUCUCUUUGCAUUUCAUCAACUCCAUUUUUCAUCAAAAACUAGAUGAGAAGAUAGUAAGUCGAGACAAUUGCUCAUAGUACAUUCAAUCUUGAUCAUCCCAAUAUAUCAUUGUAAGCUGAAGAUACUUGAACUACAACGAAGGUAAGAAGGAUGGUAUUUUGCUGAGGUGCUCGUCUCACCAUAACUGGAAGAGUAAUUUCUCUCUCUAUCUUUAUUGAAUCACCAAAAAAUUUGAUUAGAGAGGUGCCAAGCUUCUUUAAUCGAUCUGUAGACAAUCGCAUUCGGAAGAAAGCAUCGUAAAAUAAAAUAUCUGUUGAACUUUCAUUAUCUACGAGAAUCUUUUUUACAUUAUAAUUAGCGAUAGUCAUAGAAAUAACAAUAGCAUCAUCAUUAAGAGUUUGAACUCCUUGGAGAUCUUCAUUAGAAAAAAGAUCACAUUUCUCCUUGCUUUUCUUUUUGAGGAGUUCUUUGAAUAAUCUAUCCCC
This 621-nucleotide long non-coding RNA is filed under the name Elaeis guineensis (African oil palm). RNAcentral describes it as "long non-coding RNA (EGUI_LNC029913)". The record is from RNAcentral. Lineage: Eukaryota; Viridiplantae; Streptophyta; Magnoliopsida; Arecales; Arecaceae.